UACAAAUUCGGAGGCAAGUUUGUUUUCAUUGUGAUAUAAAAUGGAAAGGACCGAGCAACUUAUUAUGGAUCAUAUUAUAUACAAAUCUAUUACUAAUAUUGCGUUGGCCACUGCGGUUGGGGCACUCAGCUCGUUAUUUAUAUUUAGAAAAAGGAAGGCUUUGCCCGUGUUCCUCGGAUUUGGCUUUGGUUUAGGCUCUAGUUAUAAUGAAUGUUCACAGCUUAUAAAAAAACAAAGAGAAGAUGCACUUAAACAGCUAUAAUUUUUCAAAACAGGAAGUUGGUCAACCA
Molecule: long non-coding RNA, 290 nt
Organism: Zophobas morio
Lineage: Eukaryota; Metazoa; Arthropoda; Insecta; Coleoptera; Tenebrionidae
Exons: 3
Source: RefSeq, a predicted model, not a curated record